GCUGGNNGUGGCGGAAUGGCAGACGCGGCGGUCUCAAAAACCGUUGUCCUCAAAGACAUGUGGGUUCGACUCCCUCCUUCGGCA
RNAcentral lists this transfer RNA (84 nucleotides) under Candidatus Omnitrophota bacterium. RNAcentral's name for it is "Candidatus Omnitrophica bacterium tRNA-Leu". The stretch from base 8 to 77 matches the Rfam family "tRNA", at positions 7 to 64 of the family's 71-position model. From Rfam's summary of the family: Transfer RNA (tRNA) molecules are approximately 80 nucleotides in length. Lineage: Bacteria; Pseudomonadati; Candidatus Omnitrophota. The record is from RNAcentral.